Molecule: long non-coding RNA, 909 nt
Filed under: Mytilus galloprovincialis (Mediterranean mussel)
Lineage: Eukaryota; Metazoa; Mollusca; Bivalvia; Mytilida; Mytilidae
Source: RNAcentral
GUUAAUAUCUUCAAAAUAUUUUCUGCCUUUUCUCCUUGAUCUUCCAAAAAAAAGGAUAAGAAAAUCUAAGAAACAAUGUAAUGACUAAACUUCCUUUGAAAAAAAGAGUGGCGAAAGAUACCAGAGGGACAGUCAAACUCAUAGAUCGAAAAUAAACUGGAAUGAUAUGGCUAACAAAGAAAAAAGACAAACAGACAAAUAAAAGUACACAACACACAACAUAGACAACUAAAGACCUAGCAACACGAACCCCACCAAAAACUUUGAAAAAACCCAUCUCAAACCUAACACACUAAAUUCCUUUAAAGUUGAGACUAUAACAAGCCACUAAUAGAUACAUAUUUAUUUUUGAGUUGUGCGAUUCUCGUCUUUCAAACAGAGAUCUUUUUGUUCCUUUUAUUUAUGGAAGAUCACAACCAUAUGGCUGCGUCAGUGGCAAAGGACUUUUUUCCUUGGCAGUGAAGAAAAGGACAGAAGUUCUGUUUACAACUAAUGUCAAACCUACAUAACAAACGUCACUUGAGCAAGCUUAAUAAUUACCAGGAGGCAACACUAUGUACAAGUUAAUAUCAUAUCAUUCAUUCCUCAUUUUGGUUUAUUUCUAAAGUGCGUUUAAAACAGAUUAUUUGUAUCUAUAUGAUUCUUAACAGUCUUCACUCAUAAAGUUUUAAGACCCUUUUAUUAAGUAAAAAAAAUCUACUUGUUUAGAAUGUUACAAAAAAAAAUGAGACCAAUAUCAGCAAGACGAGGACAGGACGAAGCAUAUUAAAGAUCUGUCGUCUAACUAAAUAGUUACAUCUUUUUUUUUUUUUUGGUCAAAUCAACGAAUCUAAUAUAUAACCGCGGAUACAAAAUGUACCCAUAAUUUUUAAAUUGUAAGUGAACUAUUCUAAACAUCAACAAUGGCCA